AAAAUAGGUGAAGCCAGCCUGGGAUUUAAUUUGUGUCAGCAUCCAAUAUCUAAAUAGAGAAUAUUUGUAUCAUCAGACCAAGCACCUGAGUUCAGGAGAAUAAAAUAAUAAUAAUGACCCUGAACUGGAACAGCUUUACAUUGAAGCGUUUAACAGUUAGGUUUAAGGACACUGAGCACUGUCAGUACAUAGAACCUGUCUAAUCAUGGACUCUGAACCAUAAAUCCUAAUGGCAAUGCAGGGGCAAACUGCAAAGGACAACUCAACUCCCACAGGUCAGGCUGGAGUGACUAUCUCAUACCCUCGUCUCUGAGUGCAGCUCCUCCAUACGACCACUCACAAACCAGCUCCUAUGGACUUGCAUGUGGCUGACCUCAGCCACACUGAGCGGUCGCUCUAACUUCAGUGUGACUCUUUU
RNAcentral lists this long non-coding RNA (418 nucleotides) under Struthio camelus australis. RNAcentral's name for it is "lncRNA (ENSSCUG00000012721.1)". Lineage: Eukaryota; Metazoa; Chordata; Aves; Struthioniformes; Struthionidae. The record is from RNAcentral.